This 443-nucleotide ribosomal RNA is filed under the name uncultured bacterium. RNAcentral's name for it is "partial 16S ribosomal RNA". It matches the Rfam family "Bacterial small subunit ribosomal RNA", at positions 338 to 795 of the family's 1533-position model. The record is from RNAcentral.
CCUACGGGUGGCAGCAGUGGGGAAUAUUGGGCAAUGGGCGCAAGCCUGACCCAGCAACGCCGCGUGAAGGAAGAAGGCUUUCGGGUUGUAAACUUCUUUUCUCAGGGACGAAGAAAGUGACGGUACCUGCGGAAUAAGCCUCGGAUAACUACGUGCCAGCAGCCGCGGGAAGACGUAGGUGGCAAGCGUUAUCCGGAUUUAAGGGGUGUAAAGGGAGUGUAGGCGGGAAGGCAAGUCAGAUGUGAAAACCAGGGGCUCAACCUGUGGCUUGCAUUUGAAACUGGUUUUCUUGAGUACUGGAGAGGCAGACGGAAUGCCAAGUGUAGCGGUGAAAUGCGUAGAUAUUAGGAGGAACACCAGGGGCGAAGGCGGUCUGCUGGACAGCAACUGACGCUGAGGCGCGAAAGCGUGGGGAGCAAACAGGAUUAGAUACCCUUGUAGUC